Molecule: long non-coding RNA, 3584 nt
Filed under: Canis lupus familiaris (dog)
Lineage: Eukaryota; Metazoa; Chordata; Mammalia; Carnivora; Canidae
Description: lncRNA (ENSCAFG00845006660.1)
Source: RNAcentral
CCAGGAUCGAGUUCCACAUCGGGCUCCCGGUGCAUGGAGCCUGCUUCUCCCUCUGCCUGUGUCUCUGCCUCUCUCUCUCUCUCUCUCUCUCUGUGACUAUCAUAAAUAAAUAAAAAUUUAAAAAAAAAAAAAAAAAGAUAAAGCUCCUAGACAUAUCAAUGUUUAUCAUAGAGUUUGGUUCAAAGCAAGUACUCAAUAAAGGUACUGAAUUAAUGAAUAUUCAGAGAGUAUAUCUUUUACAUUCUAUUAUACAUAAUUACUAUGAACAGAGUCAAAAUUUCUAUCAACAUUAACUAGUGUUUUCUUGGCAUUAACCAGAAUAGGUACUGAUAUUCUUAAGUCUACACUCAGUUCCACAAGUAUUCAUGAAGCAUUUUCUACAUGCCAUGAUCUGUGCUAGCUGCUCGAAACUCCAUCUUUGUUCUCUAGAUAUUGCCAGAAAAUUCUAAUACGACAGAGUACAAAACUGGAUGAUGCCAUUAGGUAAGUCACCGAAGGGCAAAAGAAGCCUCGUACGCUAAAUCAAAUCUUAAAUAAUAAUAAAGAAACAAGUACAGAUAGGUGAAAUGCAUUCUUCUUGAAAGCAUACCUUGAGCAAAGGCCUGGAGGUGAGAAAAAACAUAUACAUGUGGUAGACCUAAAAAUGGUUUUCAGCUUAGUAUUGAAGAAAAUAUUAAAUACUAAAGAGAGGAGGUAGUGAGAGAUGAGGCUUCAUCAUGAGAUGAACAUAAAUUAUUCACCUAUUAAACAUAUGGCAUUUAAGACAAACAAAUGUCUAUAAAUAUAACCAAUGGAAAUAAUGCUGCACGUCUCUUGCUCCCUCCCCCCCGAAGCUUUAACAAUAGAGCAUGCUUACUUUUGGAACAUACAAAUAACAGAUAUGCUUUAGCAACCACAUAUCAAUUAAACGCUAAGUUCAUGUUUUCAGCUUUGCUUUGUAUACAUUCCAGGCAAUGAGCACACAUAAACAAUCUUCUUACUUUUAAGAAAAACUCCCACAAGAUGAGCACUGGGUAUUAUAUGUAAGUGAUGAGUCACUAACUUCUACACCUAAAACCAAUUUUACCAUGUGUUAACUAGAAUUUAAAUAAAAACUCUACAUUUAAAUAAAUAAAUAAAUAAAAAUUCUAAAAAAAAAAAAAUCCCCUCACACAAGGCUCAGAGUUCACAGUGUUUUCUACUGAAAAAUCCACAAGAAUUCAAAUUUAGCAUAUUAUGACAUUGUUAUUCCCCUACCUUCCAUGCCAUCUCUGGCUUAUCUAACAGUCAUUAACUUUAACAUAUUCAACUUUGAAAAAAUUCAUUUUAUUACAUUAUACUGUGAUAUUACAAUAUUACUUUCCUUUCUUCAGAUUGGUUUUCCCUACAUUUUUUGUUGAAUGAUGAUUUCAAAUGCUCAUGACCUUGCUUCAGAAUUGUUACUAUUAAAGGAAACAGACUGGUUUCAACCAUGGGACAGAGAACGUUCACAGGCUAGGAAAACACAGGAGCACCUCACAAAUUCAUAGGUUUGCCCUUUUCAACUGUUAGUUAGAACCUCUGGUCCACACAGCUUACUGGUUCCAGCUUCUUCCAAUCUUAAAGAUAUUCUCACAUCACCUAACUCCCCCUCCUGCUUUAAUAAUACUGGGAAGGGAUGCCUGGGUGGCUCAGCAGAUGAGCGUCUGCCUUGGACUCAGGGUGUGAUCCCCUCCGGGGACGGACUCCUGCAUCAGGCUCCCUGGAAGGAGCCUGCUUCUCCCCCUGUCUAUGUCUCUCCCUCUCUCUGUGUCUCUUAUGAAUAAAAUCUUAAAAAAUAAUAAUAAUGCUGGGAAAUACUAGACUAUCAGGAAAGAGGAAAGCCUCAUCCUCGAGGCCUAAAUGGCUGGAAGGAGGCCUUUUUACACCCUUCUUGGUAUAUAUUCCAGAGGUGGGCAAAGAUAUUUUACACUUUCUCUAUUCUUGCUCCAAGCAGGUAGGACUUAUAUAUGUAAAAAUCUAGGGAUGAGAUUGGGCGCUAUCUAGCCCCAAAUCUUCCUUUUGGAAAGUGGCGAUGCCUUAAAUUUAUUGUCUCAGAUGGUGUCUGUGCAGCUCUACCUCUGCUAAAACUCCAAAGCAGUGAAGAAUCUCUCACCUGCCUACUGGGUUUUGGGGCCUGAAGAAAGUAAGACAAGAUGAACCAUAAUAUUAGGUAUCAGGAAGUGACCAUAAGGGAUAAUUUCAGCUCUCAAGUAGGUUAUCAGAAAUACAUAGUAUAAAAGUAGUGAGCUACGUGUAAAUAUGAAUUGCUGUCAAUAUUCCAGGUAUUCGGUUUUUCAUACAUCAAUUACUAAAGGAGUAAAAGAAAGAAAGAGGGGGAAAGAAGGAAGCAAGAGGGAUGGAAAAUUAGAAAAAUUGGCUAAUAUAAAUAGCCUCUAAUCAUUUGUAGUAUUACCUAAAAAUUAUAGCUCAUUUAAUAGGUUUGUCAUUAAGUGAGAGAAGGAAAGUGAGUUCAGUUAUAAGGCUUGAUGGGCUCUAUGUAAAAUUGCUGGGACUAGUGGGGGCUGGGCACGUUAGCUAUCAUCAGAGAAAGGUGAGUAUCAACCAAUUAGAUACUAAUUUGUGACAACCAAAUUAGUAUUAAGGGGUUAGGAAAAAAAUGUAGAUUUGAUCCAAGGUAGCAACAAUUUCCAAAUGAUCUUUUCUGAUAGGAGGAGCAAUAUGAAAGGAAUCUUUGUGUAGUGGUGACAUCUGAAGACAAUCGGUAGGAGCAGUAAGUUUCCUCAAUAUCUACUCUAUAUAAAGCAGAGCCAGAAGCAUAAGGAUUCUGCUGGGCAAAGGGGCUGCAGAUCCAUCGGAUCUCAAGAACAGGAUGUUUACUAGUACUAAGGAAGUUAUCAAGUCAGUCUGAGCAAACAGGAUGGCAAUGGUGGGGGAUCGCUAUAUAGCCUGUUGAUACUGGAUACCUAUGGGGUCAACCUAGCAUCUGGAUACUGAGCUUAAGCCAGAAAGAUCAAUGUCCAUGAAAGAAUGAGAUCAUUAGUAUUGUGGUUCAAUAUCUGGGUUAGGUAGAGAUGUGGGUAAAAAGUCUAAAAUAUUGAUAAAUAAAAAGUAGCAAUAUUAUAAUUGAUAUAUUCAUGGGUUUUUCAGGAUGUGUAAACUGUAUGGGUGGCAAAAGCUGCCAUGAGAGAGGCCUCUAUCAAGAUCUACAAUUUUUUAAAAUAAGUGAGCCCUUGCUCACACAUAGACAGUGUUGUCCAAAAUAUACAUUAGCACAGGAGUCAGCAAAUUAAGCCCAUCAUCUGUUUUUGUUAAACAAACAAACACAAACCACUUUGUACUGGAACACAGGCAUGUCUUAUUCAUUUGUGUAUUGUCAAUGGCUGGUUUCACACUACAAAAGCAAUGUUGAAUCUGGCUCAUAAAGCAGAAAGCAGGAGAGCCCUGGUGGCCCGGUUUAGCGCCGCCUUAAGCCUGGGGUAUGGUCCUGGAGACCCGGGGUGGAGUCCCACGUCUGGUUCCCUGCAUGGAGCCUGCUUCUCCCUCUGCCUGUGUCUCUGCCUCUCUCUCUCUCAAUCUGUAUGUCUCUCAUGAAUAAAUAAAAAAAAUCUUAAAAAAAAAAAAAA